UUACUUUCAAAAAUUGGGCUUUAAGGACAUUUUGCCGCCUUUUUAGGGACAUUUUCUGAUGAUAUGUCACCCUUUACAUUUUUUAUAUGCUGGUAACAAUAACAUAAUGAAUUCGUAGCACUCAGUGCAACACAUUACUUCUGUGACUCGAGCAACGAGAACAAUUAUUUAUCUAUCUGCUGCAAAGUGUUGUGUCGCUUUUAAGAAAUAAGGUUCCAGGCUGGGACUAGAAUGCACCAGUCAAUGAAUGAUGUGGGAUUUAGGAAGACCAAAAGGAAAAUUCACUCGGCUCAUACAGUCUCCUAUUUAAAGAUUUUUUUAUUGGUUAUAAUACAAUAACAUGGCACAAGAUAUUCUCCCAGAUGUUCCUGUAAUGUUACAGUUUGAGAACUUAAGUUUUUAUUACAGUGUGUAGAAAUGUGUGUAGACAUGCCAAACAAAUUGAAUGUGCUAGAGAAAAUAAAUAAGGUAGAGGGUAAGAGGGGAGGGCGCUCAGUUUUUCCAUCACCCUGAACCUCUUGCGUCAUCUUUCCAGUUGCUGUGGCCAUUCGAGGAGGUGGUGGUGAACCGGCCCUUGGCUCAACAGGUGCCAUAUCCUGCCUUGGCACAACAAGUCCAUUAUCCCCCUGUGGCACUGCCAAUGCAGUACCCGCCCCUGGCACCGCAGACUCCAUAUCCCGCCAUUGGGCAGUCCGCCCCAAACCCCCUCCUGCCAGAAAGAGGAUUGUUGGACCUCGGGAGAACGCUGAUCUGCAGGGAACCUGUGCCGGAGGGUGGCCGGAGCCUCAGGCCUUAUGGCCCUAUCCAGGAAUUCCGGAGACCCCUCACGAACGCGGAACGGAUGCGGAACCGCAGGAUGCGGAACCGGAAGCAGCGCCUGGAGACCAGCAUGCAGCUGGUUGAGUCGGCGUCAAGGGCGCCUUCGCUGCUCUUGGAUGCCAUGCGGGGCCUUCAUCGCCAGGACUUGAAGGCCUUUGACCGGGCCAGGCAAGAGGAGAGGCAACACCGGAAGCAGGAGCGCCGGCAGGACCGGGCCACAGCCCAGCUGAUGGUUGACGCCAUCGAACGCUCCCACACGGACCUGGGGGAGUUCUUAGGCAAACAGACGGCCACCAUGGCGGCCAUUGCGGCAGUAUUUACUGGCCAGAGAGCUUCCCCGCAAGGCGCACAUGGUGGUGCUUCCCAGGGAUACAACAACAGCACACCCCUCACUCCUGGUCAUAUGCCAGGUAUGGCUCCUGAGCCCUUGACUGGCCCAGUAACACCAUGUCCACUGCCUCCUAUGGCCACUCCCGGUGGCGUAGGCAACUUGGUCGCUGAACCAACCUCUACGGAUGGACCUCGAGAGGACGCCGUGCCAGACUCGCCCGCGCCUUCCACCUCUGACGCCACCUCACGUACCCUUGACACAGGGCCCGACAGAGGAGCAAAAAGGAAGAUUUGGGAAUGA
Molecule: long non-coding RNA, 1450 nt
Filed under: Pogona vitticeps (central bearded dragon)
Lineage: Eukaryota; Metazoa; Chordata; Lepidosauria; Squamata; Agamidae
Description: lncRNA (ENSPVIG00000017910.1)
Source: RNAcentral